UAUGGGCGCAGGCCUGAACCAGCCAGUAGCGUGAAGGAUGACUGCCCUAUGGGUUGUAAACUUCUUUUAUAUGGGAAUAAAGUUUUCCACGUGUGGAAUUUUGUAUGUACCAUAUGAAUAAGGAUCGGCUAACUCCGUGCCAGCAGCCGCGGUAAUACGGAGGAUCCGAGCGUUAUCCGGAUUUAUUGGGUUUAAAGGGAGCGUAGGUGGACAGUUAAGUCAGUUGUGAAAGUUUGCGGCUCAACCGUAAAAUUGCAGUUGAUACUGGCUGUCUUGAGUACAGUAGAGGCAGGCGGAAUGCGUGGUGUAGCGGUGAAAUGCAUAGAUAUCACGCAGAACCCCGAUUGCGAAGGCAGCCUGCUAGGGUGCGACAGACGCUGAGGCACGAAAGCGUGGGUAUCGAACAGGAUUAGAUACCCUGGUAGUCCAAGGGCGAAUUC
This 440-nucleotide ribosomal RNA is filed under the name uncultured bacterium. RNAcentral describes it as "SSU rRNA". It matches the Rfam family "Bacterial small subunit ribosomal RNA", at positions 370 to 808 of the family's 1533-position model. The record is from RNAcentral.